CUAGUAUUCACUUCCACAGAUACACUAAAAUUGGAAUGAUACAGAGAAGAUUAGCAUGGUACUCGUGCAAGGAUGACAUACAAAUCUGUGAAGCAUUCCAUGUUUUG
Molecule: small nuclear RNA, 107 nt
Organism: Alexandromys fortis (reed vole)
Lineage: Eukaryota; Metazoa; Chordata; Mammalia; Rodentia; Cricetidae
Source: RefSeq, a predicted model, not a curated record